RNAcentral lists this ribosomal RNA (468 nucleotides) under uncultured bacterium. Its description in RNAcentral is "partial 16S ribosomal RNA". It matches the Rfam family "Bacterial small subunit ribosomal RNA", at positions 28 to 507 of the family's 1533-position model. The record is from RNAcentral.
GACGAACGCUGGCGGCGUGCUUAACACAUGCAAGUCGAACGGAAAGGCCCUGCGUUUGUGGGGUGCUCGAGUGGCGAACGGGUGAGUAACACGUGAGUAACCUGCCCUUGACUUUGGGAUAACUUCAGGAAACUGGGGCGAUUACCGGAUAGGAGCUCCUGCUGCAUGGUGGGGGUUGGAAAGUUUCGGCGGUUGGGGAUGGACUCGCGGCUUAUCAGCUUGUUGGUGGGGUAGUGGCUUACCAAGGCUUUGACGGGUAGCCGGCCUGAGAGGGUGACCGGCCACAUUGGGACUGAGAUACGGCCCAGACUCCUACGGGAGGCAGCAGUGGGGAAUAUUGCACAAUGGGCGGAAGCCUGAUGCAGCAACGCCGCGUGCGGGAUGACGGCCUUCGGGUUGUAAACCGCUUUCGCCUGUGACGAAGCGUGAGUGACGGUAAUGGGUAAAGAAGCACCGGCUAACUACGUG